GAUGAAGAACGCAGCGAAAUGCGAUACUUGGUGUGAAUUGCAGAAUCCCGUGAACCAUCGAGUCUUUGAACGCAAGUUGCGCCCGAAGCCAUUAGGCCGAGGGCACGCCUGCCUGGGCGUCACACGUCGUUGCCCCCCCAUCUACUCCUUCGGGAUUGCGGGGGGCGGAUGAUGGCCUCCCGUGCGCCUCGCCGCGCGGUUGGCAUAAAUGCCAAGUCCUCGGCGACGCACGCCACGACAAUCGGUGGUUGCGAAACCUCGGUUGCCCGUCGUGUGCGGUCGUCGCGCAUCGAGGGCUCGAAAAAAUUGCCGGGUUCCGGCUCGGCUUUCAACGCGACCCCAUGUCAGGCGGGGUUACCCGCUGAAUUUAAGCAUAUCAAUAAGCGGAGGA
This 391-nucleotide unclassified non-coding RNA is filed under the name soil metagenome. RNAcentral describes it as "partial contains 5.8S ribosomal RNA, internal transcribed spacer 2, and large subunit ribosomal RNA". The stretch from base 1 to 122 matches the Rfam family "5.8S ribosomal RNA", at positions 35 to 154 of the family's 154-position model. The record is from RNAcentral.